GACGAACGCUGGCGGCGUGCCUAAUACAUGCAAGUAGAACGCUGAAGGAGGAGCUUGCUUCUCUGGAUGAGUUGCGAACGGGUGAGUAACGCGUAGGUAACCUGCCUGGUAGCGGGGGAUAACUAUUGGAAACGAUAGCUAAUACCGCAUAAGAGUAGAUGUUGCAUGACAUUUGCUUAAAAGGUGCAAUUGCAUCACUACCAGAUGGACCUGCGUUGUAUUAGCUAGUUGGUGGGGUAACGGCUCACCAAGGCGACGAUACAUAGCCGACCUGAGAGGGUGAUCGGCCACACUGGGACUGAGACACGGCCCAGACUCCUACGGGAGGCAGCAGUAGGGAAUCUUCGGCAAUGGACGGAAGUCUGACCGAGCAACGCCGCGUGAGUGAAGAAGGUUGUCGGAUCGAAAAGCUCUGUUGUAAGAGAAGAACGAGUGUGAGAGUGGAAAGUUCACACUGUGACGGUAGCUGACCAGAAAGGGACGGCUAACUACGUG
This 495-nucleotide ribosomal RNA is filed under the name uncultured bacterium. Its description in RNAcentral is "partial 16S ribosomal RNA". It matches the Rfam family "Bacterial small subunit ribosomal RNA", at positions 28 to 507 of the family's 1533-position model. The record is from RNAcentral.